RNAcentral lists this ribosomal RNA (600 nucleotides) under uncultured bacterium. RNAcentral's name for it is "bacterial SSU rRNA". It matches the Rfam family "Bacterial small subunit ribosomal RNA", at positions 899 to 1504 of the family's 1533-position model. The record is from RNAcentral.
ACUCAAAGGAAUUGACGGGGACCCGCACAAGCGGUGGAGCAUGUGGUUUAAUUCGAUGCAACGCGAAGAACCUUACCUGGUCUUGACAUCCUGCGAUCUUUCUAGAGAUAGAUUGGUGCCUUCGGGAACGCAGUGACAGGUGCUGCACGGCUGUCGUCAGCUCGUGUUGUGAAAUGUUGGGUUAAGUCCCGCAACGAGCGCAACCCCUAUUGAUAGUUACCAUCAUUAAGUUGGGUACUCUAUUGAGAUUGCCGCUGACAAGGCAGAGGAAGGUGGGGACGACGUCAAGUCAUCAUGGCCUUUACGACCAGGGCUACACACGUGCUACAAUGGGUAUUACAGAGGGCUGCGAAGGAGCGAUCUGGAGCGAAACUCAAAAAGGUACUCUUAGUCCGGAUUGCAGUCUGCAACUCGACUGCAUGAAGUCGGAAUCGCUAGUAAUCGCAGGUCAGAAUACUGCGGUGAAUACGUUCUCGGGUCUUGUACACACCGCCCGUCACACCAUGGGAGUGGGUUGCUCCAGAAGUAGAUAGCUUAACGAAUGGGCGUUUACCACGGAGUGAUUCAUGACUGGGGUGAAGUCGUAACAAGGUAGCCGUA